CACCGUUUUGGAAUAUCACCAAGUCUAAAAUAGUGACAAUGAUACCGAAAGGAGGGAUGGAGGAGACGACUACUUUGAGAAUUGAAUCAUUCCAAAUCUUUAAUAACGAUAAAUAAUUCUUUAUAAAGAGAAAUUGUCACGAAGUUUUAUUUUCCAUUGAAUUGUGUCCAUGCUGGAGUACCACCUUCAAGUGUAUUAAUAAAUUACAGCAACUCCACUACUUUGUCUGAUACUUAUCAAACUUAUCGGCCACAAGAGGACGGAAGGCAUAAAUUAAUCAGGCAGGAUUAGGACUCAGAACACACAAAUCCAUAUUCAGGCACCACAAGACCUAACCCAUGCAAGCAUGGAAAAGGAGAU
This is a long non-coding RNA of Octopus sinensis (East Asian common octopus), 360 nucleotides long. RefSeq lists it as uncharacterized. The transcript has 4 exons. NCBI's taxonomy places the organism in Eukaryota, Metazoa, Mollusca, Cephalopoda, Octopoda, Octopodidae. The record is from RefSeq and is a predicted model, not a curated record.